This 253-nucleotide ribosomal RNA is filed under the name uncultured bacterium. RNAcentral's name for it is "partial 16S ribosomal RNA". It matches the Rfam family "Bacterial small subunit ribosomal RNA", at positions 524 to 776 of the family's 1533-position model. The record is from RNAcentral.
UACGUAGGGUGCAAGCGUUGUCCGGAAUUAUUGGGCGUAAAGAGCUUGUAGGCGGUUUGUCGCGUCUGCUGUGAAAUUUCGGGGCUCAACCCCGAACUUGCAGUGGGUACGGGCAGACUAGAGUGUGGUAGGGGAGACUGGAAUUCCUGGUGUAGCGGUGAAAUGCGCAAAUAUCAGGAGGAACACCGAUGGCGAAGGCAGGUCUCUGGGCCAUAACUGACGCUGAGAAGCGAAAGCAUGGGGAGCGAACCGG